AUACGAAGGGGGCUAGCGUUGUUCGGAAUUACUGGGCGUAAAGCGCGCGUAGGCGGAUUGGUCAGUUAGGGGUGAAAUCCCAGGGCUUAACCCUGGAACUGCCUCUAAUACUGCCAGUCUUGAGUUCUGGAGAGGUGAGUGGAAUUCCUAGUGUAGAGGUGAAAUUCGUAGAUAUUAGGAAGAACACCAGUGGCGAAGGCGGCUCACUGGCCCGAUACUGACGCUGAGGCGCGAAAGCGUGGGGAGCAAACAGGAUUAGAAACCCUAGUAGUCC
RNAcentral lists this ribosomal RNA (274 nucleotides) under uncultured bacterium. RNAcentral describes it as "partial 16S ribosomal RNA". It matches the Rfam family "Bacterial small subunit ribosomal RNA", at positions 523 to 796 of the family's 1533-position model. The record is from RNAcentral.